UACGAAGGGGGCUAGCGUUGUUCGGAAUUACUGGGCGUAAAGCGCGCGCAGGCGGUCUUCCAAGUCAGUGGUGAAAGCCCGGAGCUCAACUCCGGAACUGCCAUUGAAACUGUGAAACUUGAGGACGAGAGAGGUGAGUGGAAUUCCCAGUGUAGAGGUGAAAUUCGUAGAUAUUGGGAAGAACACCGGUGGCGAAGGCGGCUCACUGGCUCGUAUCUGACGCUCAGGCGCGACAGCGUGGGGAUCAAACAGG
This 253-nucleotide ribosomal RNA is filed under the name uncultured bacterium. RNAcentral describes it as "partial 16S ribosomal RNA". It matches the Rfam family "Bacterial small subunit ribosomal RNA", at positions 524 to 776 of the family's 1533-position model. The record is from RNAcentral.